GAGAAGCCGCCGCAGCAGCAAACGCAGGAGCUGAGAGAACAUCCAGGGCCGGCAAGAUGCAGAUCUUCGUGAAGACGCUGACGGGUAAGACCAUCACCCUCGAGGUCGAGAGCAGCGACACCAUCGACAAUGUCAAGGCCAAGAUCCAGGACAAGGAAGGUACGCGCGCGCGUUCUUGCUUCUCAGCUCGUUUUUCUAGCAAGGCUAGCAAGUAAAGCCAGAGCUAAGCGGUUUUGGUUUGUUCCGUUCGUAGGAAUCCCGCCGGACCAGCAGCGUCUGAUCUUCGCCGGGAAGCAGCUGGAGGAUGGCCGCACUCUGGCGGACUACAACAUCCAAAAGGAGUCCACGCUCCACCUCGUGCUCAGGCUCCGUGGUGGAAUCAUUGAGCCCUCGCUGCAGGCGCUCGCUCGCAAGUAUAACCAGGACAAGAUGAUCUGCCGCAAGUAAGCUACCGCCCCCACCCUCACCUCACCUUGUUAACAUUUCUAUGACCCCCCAAAUAGAAACUUUGUUCUAUUCAGUGCAAGAUUUUUCGAUUAGAUGUCAUCCCAAACCGUAGCCACGAGAAUUAUUCAUAGGAAACUCUACAUGAUAUGUGGAUAGAUAAUCACAUGGGCAUAUGCUUGUGUUGGGAUUCUUGUGUGCAAAAAGUUUUGUAGUCUAAUGCUAGUAGGAAAUGGAAAUGAACAAUUUAGCAAACAAAGUGCAACUUCAGUACUGUGCUUUCCAUUUUAACGUGCACACACCUCAAUCAAAUGCGUAGACCAUGACACCACCAGAGUUACCUAACCUUGCACAGCCUUCUUGAGUUGAACCUUAAAGCGAUUAUACAAAAAUUCCUAAGGUUUUGCCCCUGUGGUAUGCACUCUUAGUUCAAAAUGUUUCUUGCUUGAGCAUUUGCUGAGUAUUGCCAGCCGACCUCUGGACAUGGCUUCCAAUGUAUUUAAGCAUUUAUCAUUUCUUUGUUCAAUUUUACUCUGCAUUUUACCAUGACCUGAUUCUUUUUGUUCAUUAGUAUUGAGGCAGUUCUCUGACUUGCCAGUUUAGUUUUCUGUCUUUUGUACAAGGAUGGUAAACCUGUUACACUCUUGGCCCUGUUUGCUUACAUUACACAGUAUAAGGGUUUUAUAUCAUGUAAUGCAAUUUUGUCGUUUACUUCUUGUGUUCUGUGAGUACACUCCUAUUACUGUUGACAUGUGAGGUUUUUAAGGUGCGCUGCACUUUUGAUGUUGGGUUUUGAUAUUUAUGUGAGUGAGUUUUUUUUUUGGAGAAAAGCGAAUGGAGUGAUGAAUUAAUUAGAUGCGAGAAGUGACCUUAUGAACUGAAACUUUGAGGCAUAAAUUCUAUCUGACUUGUCAAUUUACCUGUCCUAUUCCACUCAAGUGAGGGUGCUUGGUUCCUUUUUCUUUUUUGGUAUGACAGCAACAUAUAUAAAAUAACUUGCCUUUUGCAGUUUAAGUUUACCCCUGUGUCAAAUGUUCAUCGAUUUUGGUAGGAGAGAUCAAUAACUUGCUGGAUCUAUAAAUUUAUCUAUUGUGCUUAGACCUUUUGACUUGUGAAGCACACCAGAUGCUAUUUGCAACUUUCCUCACUGUGUUUAAUUUCCAGUCCCAGUUACUGUUGUAUUGUGUCCUGUUAGCUCAUUGAUGUUCUUCCAUUUGUCUGCAGAUGCUACGCGCGCCUGCACCCCAGGGCUGUCAACUGCCGCAAGAAGAAGUGUGGUCACAGCAACCAGGUGAGCUUUAUUGCAAAUCGUUGUGCCUGUAUCUAGGAUAGCCUUGUGCUUGUUCAGCGCCCUACCAUUUUGAAAGCGAAGAUGUUCAAGCGAAGUCAGUCUGAUCUAAUGUGAUUUCUGUUGCUUUUCUCCUUUCAGCUGAGGGCCAAGAAGAAGAUCAAGAACUGAGGUGAUGUUGCUGCUAGUCAGUUCCAUGGACCAUUUAAACCAUCUGUUGUAGUGGUGUACCGAAUGUUAUGUUGCGUUGUUGUCUGGAUGUUGAACUUCUGUUGCGCCAAACUUUUCCGAUGUCGUGAUGUUUUACCUUGUUGUCGAUGGUGACAGU
RNAcentral lists this long non-coding RNA (2060 nucleotides) under Setaria viridis. Its description in RNAcentral is "long non-coding RNA (SVIR_LNC011372)". The stretch from base 1273 to 1361 matches the Rfam family "Small nucleolar RNA Z266". The record is from RNAcentral. Lineage: Eukaryota; Viridiplantae; Streptophyta; Magnoliopsida; Poales; Poaceae.